RNAcentral lists this ribosomal RNA (253 nucleotides) under uncultured bacterium. RNAcentral describes it as "partial 16S ribosomal RNA". It matches the Rfam family "Bacterial small subunit ribosomal RNA", at positions 524 to 776 of the family's 1533-position model. The record is from RNAcentral.
UACAGAGGGUGCAAGCGUUAAUCGGAUUUACUGGGCGUAAAGCGCGCGUAGGUGGCCAAUUAAGUCAAAUGUGAAAUCCCCGAGCUUAACUUGGGAAUUGCAUUCGAUACUGGUUGGCUAGAGUAUGGGAGAGGAUGGUAGAAUUCCAGGUGUAGCGGUGAAAUGCGUAGAGAUCUGGAGGAAUACCGAUGGCGAAGGCAGCCAUCUGGCCAAAUACUGACACUGAGGUGCGAAAGCAUGGGGAGCAAACAGG